This 461-nucleotide ribosomal RNA is filed under the name uncultured bacterium. RNAcentral's name for it is "SSU rRNA". It matches the Rfam family "Bacterial small subunit ribosomal RNA", at positions 26 to 518 of the family's 1533-position model. The record is from RNAcentral.
AGAAUCAACGCUGGCGGCGUGCCUAACACAUGCAAGUCGAACGAGAAAGGGGUAGCAAUACCCUGAGUAAAGUGGCGCACGGGUGAGUAACACGUGACUAACCUACCCUGGAGUGGGGGAUAACUGAGGGAAACCUUAGCUAAUACCGCAUAAUACCUACGGGUCAAAGGAGCAAUUCGCUUUGGGAGGGGUCGCGGCCGAUUAGUUAGUUGGCGGGGUAAUGGCCCACCAAGACGAUGAUCGGUAUCCGGCCUGAGAGGGCGCACGGACACACUGGAACUGAAACACGGUCCAGACUCCUACGGGAGGCAGCAGUGGGGAAUUUUGCGCAAUGGGGGAAACCCUGACGCAGCAACGCCGCGUGGAGGAUGAAGUACUUCGGUACGUAAACUCCUUUCGAUCGGGACGAUUAUGACGGUACCGAGAGAAGAAGCCCCGGCUAACUUCGCGCCAGCAGCCGC